GAUGAACGCUGGCGGCGUGCCUAAUACAUGCAAGUCGAGCGAACGGACGAGAAGCUUGCUUCUCUGAUGUUAGCGGCGGACGGGUGAGUAACACGUGGAUAACCUACCUAUAAGACUGGGAUAACUUCGGGAAACCGGAGCUAAUACCGGAUGAUAUUUUGAACCGCAUGGUUCAAAAGUGAAAGACGGUCUUGCUGUCACUUAUAGAUGGAUCCGCGCUGCAUUAGCUAGUUGGUAAGGUAACGGCUUACCAAGGCAACGAUGCAUAGCCGACCUGAGAGGGUGAUCGGCCACACUGGAACUGAGACACGGUCCAGACUCCUACGGGAGGCAGCAGUAGGGAAUCUUCCGCAAUGGGCGAAAGCCUGACGGAGCAACGCCGCGUGAGUGAUGAAGGUCUUCGGAUCGUAAAACUCUGUUAUUAGGGAAGAACAUAUGUGUACGUAACUGUGCACAUCUUGACGGUACCUAAUCAGAAAGCCACGGCUAACUACGUG
RNAcentral lists this ribosomal RNA (497 nucleotides) under uncultured bacterium. RNAcentral's name for it is "partial 16S ribosomal RNA". It matches the Rfam family "Bacterial small subunit ribosomal RNA", at positions 28 to 507 of the family's 1533-position model. The record is from RNAcentral.